This is a non-coding RNA of Anolis sagrei ordinatus, 1419 nucleotides long. Lineage: Eukaryota; Metazoa; Chordata; Lepidosauria; Squamata; Anolidae. The record is from RefSeq and is a predicted model, not a curated record.
AUGAAACAUCAGGAGAGACUGCCUCUAGACCAUGUCCAUAUAGCCCGAAAAAACCUACAACAACCCAAUUAUAACAUGCAUCCCACUUUACCCGCCAUGGCGACAUCCUAUGGAAUACUGGGUUUUGCAGUUUAUGGAGGGAAUUUAGAAUUUCUCAGGCGGAGAACUCCAUCACACUAUAAAUCCCAGGCAUGGCUGUUAAUGUGGAAUCAUAAUACUUUAAUUGUAGAACUGCCAUUGUCAUCAAUACCCUAAAAGUACUAAAGUGAGCAGCAGAUAAAGCAGCAUUGGUAUCAGUCUUGAGACAAUGGCUUGUAACUCAAAAGGUUGCCACCUAUAAAACAGACUCUUAGUUCUACCAUUUGCAUUAGCAGCAAUAAUGGGGUUAUCAAACAAUAGGCAACUCUUCUAUUUUUUUUUCCGACACCAUAUCCCAUUAGCUAUGUCUUUGAAAAUCUUUCACCCAAUAUAUAUGAUAGUUUUAUAUAAGUUAGAAAACAAGUUAGCAUCAGCAGCAAUUAAAGGUAAAUAUGACAUUCACCUGUCUACAUUUUGGAAACCCCUUGACUUUUUUGUUUUUUCGAAACAUUUCACUAAAAACAAAAGAACUAGCAAAGCCAGGGGUGUCUCAACCAUUACGCAAAGUAAGCAUUCGCAGUAUAGUUGGUUUUGCCCAGGGGUGCUCUUGAGGCACUCUUGGGGGAAAAUAGACCUUGACAUAUGUGAGUUGUAGUUACUGGGAUGUAUAGUUCACCUACAAUCAAAGAGCAUUCUGAACUCCACCAAAGAUGGAAUUGAACCAAAUAUGGCACACAGAACUCCCAUGACGAACAGAAAAUAUAUAUCAAUGAUUGGUUGGGGGGGGGGGCACCAAAUUACUGUUUGCUUACCGUUGCAAAUUACCUAGGGCCGCCUCUGAGCAAAGCACAGCUCUCUUUAGAUAAAACCAAUUCAUUAAGGUAAAGACGUUAAAGGCAAAGAAUCAUGAGUAGAAAUGGCAGGACAUAUAGUAGCCAAUACCUGUGGAUUCCUGAAAUCCCUCCAGUUUUCCCAAUUUGCAAAAUGAAUGUUAAUUGCUAACCACUUUGUAAUCAGACAUUUACUUACAAUUGCUUUAUUGAUGGCAUAUGAGUAAAAGCAGACUAAAACACAACGGUUUUGGCUUUGGCUGGUUUCUUAUCGUUGUUCGGUGUUUGUAACCAGACAAACUGUAGUGUCUGAAUAUUUGUAAUGACAACUAUAUUCUGCAGCUGCCUGGCUUUUGAAUCCAUGCGACUCUUUUAGAAUGUGCAGUUACUUGUUAAAAGGUCUCUUACUGUAUCUGUAAAGUUCAUGUUGUUUCAUGUCAGUUCUUGCCAGGAAUUUUCUCAACACCAAUGGAUUUUUAUUUCCAGUAUUUCAAUAAAUAUUGAUAUGGCC